Molecule: ribosomal RNA, 222 nt
Filed under: uncultured Eubacteriales bacterium
Lineage: Bacteria; Bacillati; Bacillota; Clostridia; Eubacteriales
Description: uncultured Clostridiales bacterium partial 16S ribosomal RNA
Rfam family: Bacterial small subunit ribosomal RNA
Source: RNAcentral
AACGCGUGAGUAACCUGCCUUACACAAGGGGAUAGCCGUUGGAAACGACGAAUAAUACCCUAUGAAACUAUCACUUCGCAUGAAGCGAUAGUCAAAGUGUUAGCGGUGUAAGAUGGACUUGCGUCUGAUUAGCUAGUUGGUGAGAUAACAGCCCACCAAGGCAACGAUCAGUAGCCGGCUUGAGAGAGUGUACGGCCACAUUGGGACUGAGACACGGCCCAG